GCUAUAAGAUGGACCCGCGGCGCAUUAGCUAGUUGGUGAGGUAACGGCUCACCAAGGCAACGAUGCGUAGCCAACCUGAGAGGGUGAUCGGCCACAUUGGAACUGAGACACGGUCCAGACUCCUACGGGAGGCAGCAGUGGGGAAUAUUGCACAAUGGGGGAAACCCUGAUGCAGCAACGCCGCGUGAGUGAUGAAGGUCUUCGGAUUGUAAAGCUCUGUCUUUUGGGACGAUAAUGACGGUACCAAAGGAGGAAGCCACGGCUAACUACGUGCCAGCAGCCGCGGUAAUACGUAGGUGGCGAGCGUUGUCCGGAAUUACUGGGCGUAAAGGAUGCGUAGGCGGAUACUU
RNAcentral lists this ribosomal RNA (350 nucleotides) under uncultured Clostridium sp. RNAcentral describes it as "bacterial SSU rRNA". It matches the Rfam family "Bacterial small subunit ribosomal RNA", at positions 217 to 584 of the family's 1533-position model. Lineage: Bacteria; Bacillati; Bacillota; Clostridia; Eubacteriales; Clostridiaceae. The record is from RNAcentral.